Rana temporaria (common frog) is the source of this 1887-nucleotide long non-coding RNA. RefSeq lists it as uncharacterized. NCBI's taxonomy places the organism in Eukaryota, Metazoa, Chordata, Amphibia, Anura, Ranidae. The transcript is spliced from 19 exons. The record is from RefSeq and is a predicted model, not a curated record.
UUAAUAAUCAGUGAUUUGUUGGACCGUCUCGUCUGGCUCUGGAGACAUAGCUGAUCCUCACAGGGGGGUCUGUACUUGGCUCUAUUGGCAGGACUGGUCUCGGGCAGAUAUAAGAAGUGCGCUGUGAUGAAAUUAACCUAAAAAGAGCUGGAAUUACCGUCAGAUUGCUGGUGGUGAGAAGGGUUUUUCUGAGCACACAUCCCGUUCUGUAGCAUUCAUUAGAAAUGCUUAGUAAGUUUAUAAUCGUCCAUUUAAAUGGUACAUUUUCUGAAAAUGCAAUAGUGGGGCAUGCCAUCUAGAUUGUCUUACACUUUGUUUUGUUCUCUUCAGGUCUGAUCACUUGGGGUUUCUGAUCUUCCGGGUCCGCCUGUUUAGGAUUGUGGAGGAUGAAAGCCUGGCAGUAGUGGAUGUCGGUCCAGCGAGAGGAGAUGGGCAGUCAUGCCAUGUCAGGAAAUUCAUAAUGAACACUUGAAUGCCGAGCUGCACCAUUCCUGGUUUUAAGGAACUUGCAUAAGGAACACUUGAAUGCCGAGCUGCACCGUUCCUGGCUUUAAGGAACUUCCGUAAUGAACACUUGAAUGCCAAGACGCAGCGUUCCUGGUUUGAAGGUCUGAUCACUUGGGGUUUCUGAUCUUCCAGAUCCACCUGUUUAGGAUUGUGGAGGAUGAAAGCCUGGCAGUAGUGGAUGUCGGUCCUGCGAGAGGAGCAGUCAUGCCAUGUCAGGAAAUUCAUAAUGAACACUUGAAUGCCGAGCCGCACCAUUCCUGGUUUUAAGGAACUUGCAUAAGGAACACUUGAAUGCCGAGCCACACCAUUCCUGGUUUUAAGGAACUUCCGUAAUGAACACUUGAAUGCCAAGACACAACGUUCCUGGUUUUAAGGUCUGAUCACUUGGGGUUUCUGAUCUUUCAGAUCCGCCUGUUUAGGAUUGUGGAGGAUGAAAGCCUGGCAGUAGUGGAUGUCGGUCCAGCGAGAGGAGAUGGGCAGUCAUGCCAUGUCAGAAAAUUCAUAAACACUUGAAUGCCGAGCCGCACCAUUCCUGGUUUUAAGGAACUCGCAUAAGGAACACUUGAAUGCCAAGCUGCACCGUUCCUGGCUUUAAGGAACUUCCAUAAUGAGCACUUGGAAUGCCAAGACACAGCGUUCCUGGUUUUAAGGAACUUGCAGAAAGAACACUUGAAUGCCGAGCCACACCAUUCCUGGCUUUAAGGAACUUCCAUAAUGAACACUUGAAUGCCAAGACACAACAUUCCUGGUUUUAAGGAACUUCCAAAAUGAACUUGAAUGCCGAUCCACACCAUUCCUGGUUUAAAGGAACUUCCAUAAUGAACACUUGAAUGCCAAGUCACAGCAUUCCUGGUUUUAAGGUAUACUUCCCCUUCUGUUUUCUAAAGGUCAUCAGUGAUAUUUCUUAUCUCAGUAAUUCAAAGCUCCUGGGACAGCUGUAGAAAGAGCCUGUAGACAUCAUCUAGCAAAGCGCUUGCUGUUUGAAAUGACAAGUGUGGACAUUUAAAUUGUUAGACAUGACAAGGAAUCAUUAAUUGGCAACUCCAUUUUAUGGGGAAAAAUUGGAAUGUUAAAAUGACCAUUACUUGGAAUAAAUUGCCAUUGUAGAAAAAUUUUAAUGACAAUUCCUUUAAUUAUGCAACACUAGAAUUUUCUGUAAAAUGUCUUCCUGGAGGUGUACUGUACACAACUCCCUCAAAUGUAACUUCCUUGUUAUUGGCUCACCAUAACUGAUCCUCACAGGGGGGUCUGUACUUGGCUCUAUUGGCAGGGCUGAUCUCGGGCAGAUAUAGGGAGUGCGCUGUGAUGAAAUUAACCUAAAAAGAGCUGGAAUUACCGUCAGAUUGUUGGUGGUGAGAAGGGUUUUUCUGAGCACACAUC